This 719-nucleotide ribosomal RNA is filed under the name uncultured fungus. RNAcentral describes it as "SSU rRNA". It matches the Rfam family "Eukaryotic small subunit ribosomal RNA", at positions 336 to 1059 of the family's 1831-position model. Lineage: Eukaryota; Fungi. The record is from RNAcentral.
GAGGCCUACCAUGGUGGUAACGGGUAACGGGGUGUUAGGGCACGACACCGGAGAGGGAGCCUGAGAAACGGCUACCACAUCCAAGGAUGGCAGCAGGCGCGCAAAUUACCCAAUCCCGACACGGGGAGGUAGUGACAAUAAAUAACAAUACGGGGUUCUUUCGGAUCUCGUAAUUGGAAUGAGUACAAUUUAAAUCUCUUAACGAGGAACAAUUGGAGGGCAAGUCUAGUGCCAGCAGCCGCGGUAAUUCCAGCUCCAAUAGCGUAUAUUAAAGUUGUUGCAGUUAAAAAGCUCGUAGUUGAAUUUCGGGGUUAGUAGGUUGGUCAUGCCUCUGGUAUGUACUGGUCUCACUGAUUCCUCCUUCCUUAUGAACCGUAAUGCCAUUAAUUUGGUGUUGCGGGGAAUUUGGACUGUUACUUUGAAAAAAUUAGAGUGUUUAAAGCAAGCUAACGCUUGAAUACAUUAGCAUGGAAUAAUGAAAUAGGACGUUCGAUCUUAUUUUGUUGGUUUCUAGGAUUGACGUAAUGAUUAAUAGGGAUAGUUGGGGGCAUUAGUAUUCAAUUGUCAGAGGUGAAAUUCUUGGAUUUAUUGAAGACUAACUACUGCGAAAGCAUUUGCCAAGGAUGUUUUCAUUAAUCAAGAGCGAAAGUUAGGGGAUCGAAGACGAUCAGAUACCGUCGUAGUCUUAACCAUAAACUAUGCCGACUAGGGAUCGGAUG